UGGUUAGCGCGCCAGAUUGUGGCUCUGGAGGCCAAGGGUUCGAAUCCCUUUAUCCACC
Molecule: transfer RNA, 58 nt
Filed under: Butyrivibrio sp. CAG:318
Lineage: Bacteria; Bacillati; Bacillota; Clostridia; Lachnospirales; Lachnospiraceae
Rfam family: tRNA
About the family: Transfer RNA (tRNA) molecules are approximately 80 nucleotides in length. Their secondary structure includes four short double-helical elements and three loops (D, anti-codon, and T loops). Further hydrogen bonds mediate the characteristic L-shaped molecular structure. tRNAs have two regions of fundamental functional importance: the anti-codon, which is responsible for specific mRNA codon recognition, and the 3' end, to which the tRNAs corresponding amino acid is attached (by aminoacyl-tRNA synthetases). tRNAs cope with the degeneracy of the genetic code in two manners: having more than one tRNA (with a specific anti-codon) for a particular amino acid; and 'wobble' base-pairing, i.e. permitting non-standard base-pairing at the 3rd anti-codon position.
Source: Rfam by way of RNAcentral